Molecule: ribosomal RNA, 200 nt
Filed under: uncultured bacterium
Lineage: Bacteria
Description: partial 16S ribosomal RNA
Rfam family: Bacterial small subunit ribosomal RNA
Source: RNAcentral
GACGAACGCUGGCGGCGUGCUCAACACAUGCAAGUCGCACGGGGCAGCAAUGCCCAGUGGCGAACGGGUGCGUAACACGUGAGGAACAUGACUUCCGGUGGGGGAUAGCCGGCCUAACGGCCGGGUAAUACCGCAUACGCUGCGCGAGGGGCAUCCCUCGUGUCGGAAAGCAGCAAUGCGCCGGAAAGGUGCCUCGCGGC